Molecule: ribosomal RNA, 305 nt
Filed under: uncultured bacterium
Lineage: Bacteria
Description: partial 16S ribosomal RNA
Rfam family: Bacterial small subunit ribosomal RNA
Source: RNAcentral
ACAGCAGCCGCCGCGGGAAUACAGAGGUCUCAAGCGUUGUUCGGAUUCAUUGGGCGUAAAGGGAGCGUAGGCGGUCGGGUAAGUCGGAUGUGAAAUCCUGGGGCUCAACCUCAGAACUGCGUUCGAUACUGCUUGGCUAGAGGACUGGAGAGGUGAGUGGAAUUCACGGUGUAGCAGUGAAAUGCGUAGAUAUCGUGAGGAAGACCAGCGGCGAAGGCGGCUCACUGGACAGUUUCUGACGCUGAUGCUCGAAGGCCAGGGGAGCAAACGGGAUUAGAUACCCCGGUAGUCCCUGUCUCUUAUAC